This 203-nucleotide long non-coding RNA is filed under the name Ananas comosus (pineapple). Its description in RNAcentral is "long non-coding RNA (ACOM_LNC041484)". The record is from RNAcentral. Lineage: Eukaryota; Viridiplantae; Streptophyta; Magnoliopsida; Poales; Bromeliaceae.
CUAGAAUACUAUCGGUAGUAAACAGCUCAGAUUACUAUCGAUUUAUUUUCGAUGAUAGAGCUUCCAAAUUGAUGAUCGACACUGUUAAAUAUAAUCUAAACUAUUUAAACUAUCUGAAAAUCAAAUUUCACACAUUUUCGAUAUUGUCCUCUUGUCCAUCAAGUGAACAGAAAAAUGAAUGGCUAGAAAUGAAUAUCCUUCAA